UGCUAAGCGGAAACACAAAAUCAAAUCAAUUGGGAACUAAAGAGAAGGAAAUAGAGGAGCAAAGAGAAUAAUACACAAGAUUUAACGUGAAAAAAUCCCCUCAGUGUGGGAGGUAAAAAACCAUGGACGAUCAUGAGCAAAGUUCCACUAUGUAAGAAAGGGAGAGUACAACAAAUCUUCUUAUAGUAAUAAGGACAAAAAACAAUAUUCUCUCACAAAUAAUCUCUCAAAUGGAACAAGAAUUCUCACCACAAAAUCACUCACACAAUAAACAUAAACAUUCUAGUAUGUAAGUAAUGAAGUUGC
RNAcentral lists this long non-coding RNA (306 nucleotides) under Lupinus angustifolius (narrow-leaved blue lupine). RNAcentral's name for it is "long non-coding RNA (LANG_LNC000696)". The record is from RNAcentral. Lineage: Eukaryota; Viridiplantae; Streptophyta; Magnoliopsida; Fabales; Fabaceae.